This 1577-nucleotide long non-coding RNA is filed under the name Medicago truncatula (barrel medic). RNAcentral describes it as "long non-coding RNA (MTRU_LNC007854)". Lineage: Eukaryota; Viridiplantae; Streptophyta; Magnoliopsida; Fabales; Fabaceae. The record is from RNAcentral.
GAUAAGUGCUCAAAAUGAUCUAAUUCAUGUGUUAGUUUAGGCAUAUUUGAUGAGUUGUUUUACAAAUUAUUGAUGGAAAAGCUUCAAUUAUGUGCCUAAAUGCCAUUUAUGCUUUGCAUGCCUUACUUUACCCUUUUUGUGCAGGAAAAUACAAGCAAGGACCAAAAAUAUUAGUUGACCAGAGACAACACGCCAUAAGCGUGUACCAAGCCAUAAGCCUAGAAGCCAGAAUUCAAGAAACUCGCCAUAAGCGAGUACUUGGCCAUUGGCGAGUUUUCUCCAGAGGCUUCACGCCAUAAGCGUGUUCAUGGCGAGUUCAAGAGAUUCAACAGGAUAAGGGGCACGUGGAGCAUAACCAUUGGGGCAGAAGCUGAUUUCGUGCAUCUCGCUUAUGGCGAGUUAUUUUGGCCAUAAGCGAGUUGUCCAAACACAACCCAUAUAAAUAGUUUUUCCUUCUCUCUCUUGCUAUUCUAUUACAUUUUUAUUCAUAUUUUUCUGGUUUUAGAGAGAGACUGGGGCUUUUCUAAAGAGAGAAACACAAAGUAAGGUAGUUAGGAGUAGAUUCAAGCCAAGAUUUGUUGAGACAUCAUGGAUCUUGUCAUGGAAUCUUCACCCUUUCUUCAUCCUUUGCAAAGCUAUCAUAGACAUAUGUAGCUACAUCUACUCUUGUAGUUUUGAGGUAUUCAAACAAGCUAUUAUGUAAUCUUUUAAUAUAUGGUUCUAGCUUAUUUAUUCAAUAUUGUUGUUAUUCUUGCUUUUAUUGUUUUAUUGAGAUUCAAAAUUAUAUGGACACAUACUUUUGAAUCUAGAAAUAGAAUAACAAUCUAUCUUAAGUUAUCACUCUAGAAAUGGAUGUUAAUAUUUGAUAAUCACUUUUAAUCUAGGACUUAAUGCUUUUGAGUAAUUUAAUCGGUUGGGAAAUCGUCGAUUAAACUACCCAAUCGACUUUGUGAUCGUUUAAAUGUUUGGGAAAUCGAUGUUUAAACGAUCCCUUAGAAAUAACGAUAUCAUUUGGACACAAAUGAUAUUGUCGAGUGAUUGUGAUAAUAUAGUUUAAAAAGCUAGAAUCCGUUAAUCGAUCGAGAGAUUGCAGCUGUUACACUUGGUUGAUGUCUCUGACCGCAAGCGGAAUAGCCCUAUCUCUUCUCGCUUUACAUUUAUGUCAAUUAGGAAAAUAGUUUACACAAACAAACAAUUUAUAUCCAAACACUUAACGUGACAAAUAUUGUGAAAAUGCUUAUGAAAUACGCAACUUCCUAUGGACACGAUCAUAUAUAUACUUACGUGUAAAUAGUUUUAUGAGAGGUAAAAAUCCUUCAUCACUCCCCUAGCCAGAUUAAAAUUCUUGAAAUUACUAAUGUCCUACCUUCACAUUUUCAAAUCAUUACUUCUCUCCCUGCUUAUGUUUCAGGUUUCAGCUCAAGAUGGAAGAUGUCCAACCUCGUUUAGUUGUGGAAAUCUUGAAAUUGAUUUUUUCGUUAUAGGAUUGUUUAAGGGAUUCAUCAUUAAUAGGUUUAAUGAUUUAUUGUACUUUAGUUGUAUUAGUGGUUGUAAAGUUGACCACAUGUAAAAAGUUU